GGAUUAGAUACCCUGGUAGUCCACGCCGUAAACGCUGUCUACUAGCUGUAUGCGGAUGUAUAUCUGUGUGUAGCGAAGCUAACGCGCUAAGUAGACCGCCUGGGGAGUACGGCCGCAAGGUUAAAACUCAAAUGAAUUGACGGGGGCCCGCACAAGCGGUGGAGCAUGUGGUUUAAUUCGAUGCAACGCGAAGAACCUUACCUACACUUGACAUCCAGAGAACUUACCAGAGAUGGUUUGGUGCCUUCGGGAGCUCUGAGACAGGUGCUGCAUGGCUGUCGUCAGCUCGUGCUG
This 294-nucleotide ribosomal RNA is filed under the name uncultured bacterium. Its description in RNAcentral is "partial 16S ribosomal RNA". It matches the Rfam family "Bacterial small subunit ribosomal RNA", at positions 775 to 1067 of the family's 1533-position model. The record is from RNAcentral.